CCCUCAGAUGUUCUGGGCUGCACGCGUGCUACACUGAAGUGUCAUAGCGAGUUACCUAUCUUUAACGGGAAGGGUAAUCUUGAAUGCACUUCGUGAUGGGGAUAGAUCAUUGCAAUUAUUGAUCUUCAACGAGGAAUUCCUAGUAAGCGCAAGUCAUCAGCUUGCGCUGAUUACGUCACUGCUUUUUGUACACACCGCCCGUCGCUCCUACCGAUUGAGUGUUCCGGCGAACAAUUUGGACGAGCUCGGUUUACCUUGCUUGGAAGUCUUGUAAGCCAUAACACUUAGAGGAAGGAGAANUCGUAACA
This 308-nucleotide ribosomal RNA is filed under the name uncultured eukaryote. RNAcentral describes it as "partial 18S ribosomal RNA". It matches the Rfam family "Eukaryotic small subunit ribosomal RNA", at positions 1470 to 1796 of the family's 1831-position model. The record is from RNAcentral.